Molecule: ribosomal RNA, 385 nt
Filed under: uncultured bacterium
Lineage: Bacteria
Description: partial 16S ribosomal RNA
Rfam family: Bacterial small subunit ribosomal RNA
Source: RNAcentral
AUACGUAGGUGACAAGCGUUAAUCGGAUUUACUGGGCGUAAAGCGCGCGUAGGUGGCUAAUUAAGUCAAAUGUGAAAUCCCCGAGCUUAACUUGGGAAUUGCAUUCGAUACUGGUUAGCUAGAGUAUGGGAGAGGAUGGUAGAAUUCCAGGUGUAGCGGUGAAAUGCGUAGAGAUCUGGAGGAAUACCGAUGGCGAAGGCAGCCAUCUGGCCUAAUACUGACACUGAGUUGCGAAAGCAUGGGGAGCAAACAGGAUUAGAUACCCUGGUAGUCCAUGCCGUAAACGAUGUCUACUAGCCGUUGGGGCCCUUGAGGCUUUAGUGGCGCAGCUAACGCGAUAAGUAGACCGCCUGGGGAGUACGGUCGCAAGACUAAAACUCAAAUG